AGUGAACGCUGGCGACAGGCCUAAUACAUGCAAGUCGAACGGCAACACAGUAAGAUCGUGCUCUUAAGGGUGGCGAGUGGCGGACGGGUGAGACGUACAUAGGCUUCUACUAUGACGUGGGGGACAACGGAGGGAAACUUACGCUACUACAGCAUAUGUCCUACGGGUGAGAGCAGGGGAUCUUCGCACCUUGCGUGUUACAAAGAGACGGUGUCGCAUUAGCUAGUUGGUGUGGUAAAGGCCCACCAAGGCGACGAUCCGUAGCCGGCCUGAGAGGAUGAUCAGCCACACUGGAACUGAGACACGGUCCAGACUCCUACGGGAGGCAGCAGUAGGGAAUAUUGGACAAUGGGCGCAAGCCUGACCCAGCCAUACCGCGUGGGUGAUGAAGGCCUUCGGGUUGUAAAGCCCUUUUGUUAGGAAAGAAAAGCUGCAUAUUUAACUCCGCCCGUUCUGACGGUACCCAAACAGUAAGCACCGGCUAACUUCGUG
RNAcentral lists this ribosomal RNA (492 nucleotides) under uncultured bacterium. RNAcentral describes it as "partial 16S ribosomal RNA". It matches the Rfam family "Bacterial small subunit ribosomal RNA", at positions 29 to 507 of the family's 1533-position model. The record is from RNAcentral.